AGACUACCUGUUCCAACAGGUUUAGGAGUUUGCGAGCCUUCUCCGGAACAUCAACCAACCGAAUAGCUGCCACAUCCAGGGAAGCUCGUCCAGCCAUAGACAAAUCUCCAGCUGUUUGUUCACUUGUCAAAUGUGACAGGUUCUGAUCCAGAUUUGUGCCAAAUAGUGAAAUAGACAAGCUGGAGUUUAGUCUAGCCAGAGUGGCUCUCAAAGAAGCUUCAAAUACAGAAGACCUGCUCGUAAGGCAAUCUGCUACUGUAAGUAUUUGAAGAGCUCCCUGAACAAUGGACCACUCCUCAUUUGAACUCAAGUCCAUCUUACGAGAGCUUUUCUCUGCACUUCCAUCUUUCUUUGAGCUAACUCCAUCACCUGUACCAUCCACUCCGAACACAACUCUCAAAGAUUUGAGUGUUUCCUGAAGCAUAGAGAUAUACUGCAACAUAGUGUCAUCUAUUGCAAGUAUCAGCUCGUCUGCCUCUGAGCCCCCAGUGAAACCAAUACACCUCUCAACCGCAGCUUCAAGAAGAACAACAACUUGGG
Brassica rapa (field mustard) is the source of this 540-nucleotide long non-coding RNA. RefSeq lists it as uncharacterized. Lineage: Eukaryota; Viridiplantae; Streptophyta; Magnoliopsida; Brassicales; Brassicaceae. The record is from RefSeq and is a predicted model, not a curated record.